AGUGAACGCUGGCGGUAGGCCUAACACAUGCAAGUCGAACGGCAGCACAGGAGAGCUUGCUCUCUGGGUGGCGAGUGGCGGACGGGUGAGGAAUACAUCGGAAUCUACUUUUUCGUGGGGGAUAACGUAGGGAAACUUACGCUAAUACCGCAUACGACCUACGGGUGAAAGCAGGGGAUCUUCGGACCUUGCGCGAUUGAAUGAGCCGAUGUCGGAUUAGCUAGUUGGCGGGGUAAAGGCCCACCAAGGCGACGAUCCGUAGCUGGUCUGGGAGAAUGAUCAGCCACACUGGAACUGAGAGACGGUCCAGACUCCUACGGGAGGCAGCAGUGGGGAAUAUUGGACAAUGGGCGCAAGCCUGAUCCAGCCAUACCGCGUGGGUGAAGAAGGCCUUCGGGUUGUAAAGCCCUUUUGUUGGGAAAGAAAUCCAGCUGGUUAAUACCCGGUUGGGAUGACGGUACCCAAAGAAUAAGCACCGGCUAACUUCGUGCCAGCAGCCGCAGUAA
RNAcentral lists this ribosomal RNA (506 nucleotides) under uncultured bacterium. RNAcentral's name for it is "partial 16S ribosomal RNA". It matches the Rfam family "Bacterial small subunit ribosomal RNA", at positions 29 to 523 of the family's 1533-position model. The record is from RNAcentral.